RNAcentral lists this transfer RNA (76 nucleotides) under Candidatus Nanoclepta minutus. Its description in RNAcentral is "tRNA-Cys". It matches the Rfam family "tRNA". Rfam says of the family: Transfer RNA (tRNA) molecules are approximately 80 nucleotides in length. Their secondary structure includes four short double-helical elements and three loops (D, anti-codon, and T loops). Lineage: Archaea; Nanobdellati; Nanobdellota. The record is from RNAcentral.
GCCGCGGUGCCCGAGCGGCCUAAGGGGGAGGGCUGCAGACCCUCUUAUAUCCGGGGUUCGAAUCCCCGCCGCGGCU